GAUGAACGCUGGCGGCGUGCCUAAUACAUGCAAGUCGAGCGAACAGACGAGGAGCUUGCUCCUCUGACGUUAGCGGCGGACGGGUGAGUAACACGUGGAUAACCUACCUAUAAGACUGGGAUAACUUCGGGAAACCGGAGCUACUACCGGAUAAUAUAUUGAACCGCAUGGUUCAAUAGUGAAAGACGGUUUUGCUGUCACUUAUAGAUGGAUCCGCGCCGCAUUAGCUAGUUGGUAAGGUAACGGCUUACCAAGGCGACGAUGCGUAGCCGACCUGAGAGGGUGAUCGGCCACACUGGAACUGAGACACGGUCCAGACUCCUACGGGAGGCAGCAGUAGGGAAUCUUCCGCAAUGGGCGAAAGCCUGACGGAGCAACGCCGCGUGAGUGAUGAAGGUCUUCGGAUCGUAAAACUCUGUUAUUAGGGAAGAACAAAUGUGUAAGUAACUAUGCACGUCUUGACGGUACCUAAUCAGAAAGCCACGGCUAACUACGUG
Molecule: ribosomal RNA, 497 nt
Filed under: uncultured bacterium
Lineage: Bacteria
Description: partial 16S ribosomal RNA
Rfam family: Bacterial small subunit ribosomal RNA
Source: RNAcentral